Molecule: ribosomal RNA, 235 nt
Filed under: uncultured bacterium
Lineage: Bacteria
Description: partial 16S ribosomal RNA
Rfam family: Bacterial small subunit ribosomal RNA
Source: RNAcentral
UGGCGGACGGGUGAGUAAUGUCUGGGAAACUGCCCGAUGGAGGGGGAUAACUACUGGAAACGGUAGCUAAUACCGCAUAACGUCGCAAGACCAAAGAGGGGGACCUUCGGGCCUCUUGCCAUCGGAUGUGCCCAGAUGGGAUUAGCUAGUAGGUGGGGUAACGGCUCACCUAGGCGACGAUCCCUAGCUGGUCUGAGAGGAUGACCAGCCACACUAGAACUGAGACACGGUCCAG